GGGGGCGUAGCUCAGAUGGCCAGAGCACCUGCCUUGCACGCAGGGGGUCACCGGUUCGAAUCCGGUCGCCUCCA
Molecule: transfer RNA, 74 nt
Filed under: Bacillota bacterium
Lineage: Bacteria; Bacillati; Bacillota
Also listed under: 2 other names
Description: tRNA-Ala
Rfam family: tRNA
About the family: Transfer RNA (tRNA) molecules are approximately 80 nucleotides in length. Their secondary structure includes four short double-helical elements and three loops (D, anti-codon, and T loops).
Source: RNAcentral